RNAcentral lists this long non-coding RNA (524 nucleotides) under Carica papaya (papaya). Its description in RNAcentral is "long non-coding RNA (CPAP_LNC013401)". The record is from RNAcentral. Lineage: Eukaryota; Viridiplantae; Streptophyta; Magnoliopsida; Brassicales; Caricaceae.
AUAUUAAAAUGAAAUGAGUAUUUAAAUAUAUCAAAUGCGGAAGCGAGAUCAAAAUUUCAAUUAACAUCCCUUACACGAAAAACCAAACAAACGUACUUAAAAUAUAAAAGGUUAAACUAACUAAGAAAGAAAACUCGAAGAUAAACUAUGCGUAUGUCUACAGAGUCUCUAGGCAUCCCCUUCGUCGUCCUCCUGCGGAACGGGCUCGGGAACCAUGUCUUCCUGAUCUGAAAUGGUUAAUUAAGGAGUGAGCUACACUAGCCCAGUAAGAACAUCACGAUAUCUCACCGUCACGGAAAUAAAGGUGGGUAGAAAACCACAAAAAGACCAAUGGAGCACAAUUUACAAUAAACUCGUUUAUUAACAUGAAAACCUUUACCAUCCACUUACCUUGGUGGAAUUUAUGAAAACAAUAUGAGAAAAACAAUAACAUCAUCAUAAUCAUUUAAUAAUCUAAGCUGUAAAACAUAACACUUAUCACGCCUCUUGUAAUUCAAUCAUUGUACAACAUAUCCCUUUUUCUC